CAGGAUAGACAUUAAUUGCUAGGGGGUUGGCAUUUAGCCUCACAGUUAACGGCUAGGAAGUCAGCAUCCCACACUGGGUACCUGGGUUCGCUCUGUGGCUGCAGGUCCUGCCUCCAGCUUCCUCCUAAAGCAGACCCUGGGAAGUGGCAGGUGACUGCUCCUGUGACUGGGGUCCUGCCACCCGCACAGGAGACCUGGAUUGAGUUCCCUGUUCCCAGCUUUGACUGUAGGCAUUUGGCAUAGGCUCAGAAACAAAUGGAUUCUGUGAAGAGAAUGCUGCCACCAGACUUGCAACUACAGGGUGGGCAUGACAGCAAAAGGCUGAACGCUAAAGCAGCAACACAUGGCAGGAGGGAGCGCCUGGUGGAUGAGUGAGUUACUUCUGCUUCAUGGACCAGAAUGGUGCCAGCAUGAAACAGGAAACGUUCAUGACUUCUGUGCCCUUCGGUUUAUGCAUUAAUAAAGCAAGAAUCAAGAAACGUCAA
Oryctolagus cuniculus (rabbit) is the source of this 485-nucleotide non-coding RNA. The record is from RefSeq and is a predicted model, not a curated record. NCBI's taxonomy places the organism in Eukaryota, Metazoa, Chordata, Mammalia, Lagomorpha, Leporidae.